UACGGGGGGUGCAAGCGUUGUUCGGAAUUAUCGGGCGUAAAGAGCGUGUAGGCGGCUGAAUAAGUCAGAUGUGAAAUCCCUGGGCUUAACCCAGGAAGUGCAUUUGAAACUAUUCGGCUUGAGUAGGGGAGAGGAAAGUGGAAUUCCUGGUGUAGAGGUGAAAUUCGUAGAUAUCAGGAGGAACACCGGUGGCGAAGGCGACUUUCUGGCCCUAUACUGACGCUGAGACGCGAGAGCGUGGGUAGCAAACAGG
This 253-nucleotide ribosomal RNA is filed under the name uncultured bacterium. RNAcentral describes it as "partial 16S ribosomal RNA". It matches the Rfam family "Bacterial small subunit ribosomal RNA", at positions 524 to 776 of the family's 1533-position model. The record is from RNAcentral.